CCUACGGGCGGCAGCAGUGGGGAAUAUUGCACAAUGGGCGAAAGCCUGAUGCAGCAACGCCGCGUGAGCGAUGAAGGCCUUCGGGUCGUAAAGCUCUGUCCUCAAGGGAGAUAAUGACGGUGCUUGAGGAGGAAGCCCCGGAUAACUAAGUACCAGCAGCCGCGGUAAUACGUAGGGGGCUAGCGUUAGCCGGAAUUACUGGGGGUAAAGGGUGAGUAGGUGGUUUCUUAAGUCAGAGGUGAAAGGUUACGGCUCAACCGUAGUAAGCCGUUGAAACUGGGAAACUUGAGUGCAGGAGAGGAGAGUGGAAUUCCUGGUGUAGCGGUGAAAUGCGUAGAUAUUAGGAGGAACACCAGUUGCGAAGGCGGCUCUCUGGACUUUAACUGACACUGAGGCACGAAAGCGUGGGGAGCAAACAGGAUUAGAUACCCGGGUAGUC
This 439-nucleotide ribosomal RNA is filed under the name uncultured bacterium. RNAcentral's name for it is "partial 16S ribosomal RNA". It matches the Rfam family "Bacterial small subunit ribosomal RNA", at positions 338 to 795 of the family's 1533-position model. The record is from RNAcentral.